GACGACCCAUAGAUCCGACGGGAGCUCAGUCGUGGGAGGCUUCCGUAAAGGAUGAUCCUGGCUCAGUCCAAACCCGGUUGAGUUAAAAUGGUUUUCCGAUUGUAAAACUACAAUGUUAGGGAAGAACAAGUACCGUUCGAAUAGGGCGGCACCUUGACGGUACCUAACCAGAAAGCCACGGCUAACUACGUGCCAGCAGCCGCGGUAAUACGUAGGUGGCAAGCGUUGUCCGGAAUUAUUGGGCGUAAAGAGGCCGCAGGCGGUUUAUUAAGUGAGAUGUGAAAGCCCCAGUGACAACCGGGGAGGGUCAUUGGAAACUGGGGAACUUGAGUGCAGAAGAGGAAAGGAGAAUUCCAUGAGUAGCGGUGAAAUGCGUAGAGAUGAGGAGGAACACCAGUGGCGAAGGCGACUUUUUGGUCUGUAACUGACGCUGAGGCGCGAAAGCGUGGGGAGCGAACAGGAUUAGAUACCCUGGUAGUCCACGCCGUAAACGAUGAGUGCUAAGUGUUAGAGGGUUUCCGCCCUUUAGUGCUGCAGCAAACGCAUUAAGCACUCCGCCUGGGGAGUACGGUCGCAAGACUGAAACUCAAAGGAAUUGACGGGGGCCCGCACAAGCGGUGGAGCAUGUGGUUUAAUUUGAAGCAACGCGAAGAACCUUACCAGGUCUUGACAUCCUCUGACAACCCUAGAGAUAGGGCUUCCCCUUCGGGGGCAGAGUGACAGGUGGUGCAUGGUUGUCGUCAGCUCGUGUCGUGAGAUGUUGGGUUAAGUCCCGCAACGAGCGCAACCCUUGAUCUUAGUUGCCAGCAUUCAGUUGGGCACUCUAAGGUGACUGCCGGUGACAAACCGGAGGAAGGUGGGGAUGACGUCAAAUCAUCAUGCCCCUUAUGACCUGGGCUACACACGUGCUACAAUGGGCAGAACAAAGGGCAGCGAAGCCGCGAGGCUAAGCCAAUCCCCCAAAUCUGUUCUCAGUUCGGAUCGCAGUCUGCAACUCGACUGCGUGAAGCAGAAUCGCUAUAAUCCCGGAUAAGCAUGCCGCGGUCAGUCGUUCCCAGGCGCGGUCGCGCCUCCCGUCACUCAGUCGUAACUAGGUACGCCGUAGAGUCUGUGCAGGAUCAGUCGUAACAAGGUAGCCGUAGA
Molecule: ribosomal RNA, 1143 nt
Filed under: Bacillus licheniformis
Lineage: Bacteria; Bacillati; Bacillota; Bacilli; Caryophanales; Bacillaceae
Description: bacterial SSU rRNA
Rfam family: Bacterial small subunit ribosomal RNA
Source: RNAcentral